This 270-nucleotide ribosomal RNA is filed under the name uncultured bacterium. Its description in RNAcentral is "partial 16S ribosomal RNA". It matches the Rfam family "Bacterial small subunit ribosomal RNA", at positions 88 to 354 of the family's 1533-position model. The record is from RNAcentral.
CCGGCGACCGGCGCACGGGUGAGUAACACGUAUGCAACCUGGCCGUGACAGAUGGAUAACCGGGAGAAAUCCCGCCUAAUACAACAUAAUGCCGGGAGGGGCCAUCCCCUGCCGGUCAAAGGGGGCGACCCCGGUCAUGGAUGGGCAUGCGGCGCAUUAGGUAGUUGGUGGGGCAACGGCCCACCAAGCCGACGAUGCGUAGGGGUUCUGAGAGGAAGGUCCCCCACAUUGGAACUGAGACACGGUCCAAACUCCUACGGGAGGCAGCAG